GACGAACGCUGGCGGCGUGCUUAACACAUGCAAGUCGAACGGAAAGGCCCUGCUUGCAGGGUACUCGAGUGGCGAACGGGUGAGUAACACGUGGGUGAUCUGCCCUGCACUUCGGGAUAAGCCUGGGAAACUGGGUCUAAUACCGGAUAGGAGCCAUUUUUAGGGUGAUGGUUGGAAAGUUUUUUCGGUGUAGGAUGAGCUCGCGGCCUAUCAGCUUGUUGGUGGGGUAAUGGCCUACCAAGGCGGCGACGGGUAGCCGGCCUGGGAGGGUGGACGGCCACAUUGGGACUGGGAUACGGCCCAGACUCCUACGGGGGGCAGCAGUGGGGAAUAUUGCACAAUGGGCGCAAGCCUGAUGCAGCGACGCCGCGUGGGGGAUGACGGCCUUCGGGUUGUAAACUCCUUUCGCUAGGGACGAAGCUGUUUGUGACGGUACCUAGAUAAGAAGCACCGGCUAACUACGUG
This 465-nucleotide ribosomal RNA is filed under the name uncultured bacterium. RNAcentral describes it as "partial 16S ribosomal RNA". It matches the Rfam family "Bacterial small subunit ribosomal RNA", at positions 28 to 507 of the family's 1533-position model. The record is from RNAcentral.